ACUUAUUUUCUUGAAGGCCUCAAAUAUUGAUGAGCAUGAGGCCUGUCACUACGGAUUAGGAGCAUGCUCAUGUUGGUGGUUAUUAUUUGAUGAAAUCUUGCCUGUUACCUGACAUUACUUUGAUAACUGUGGAAUCUUUGGACCUUUCCAGAGGAUUUGACCGUGAUUGUUCCUUUUCUCUUUUUAAUGAAUAACAAAUUUUAUUACAAAGAAUCAGAAUAAUGUACAGUACAAAGCACAUCAAAGAAAGUCACCUAAACCAGGUAAAAUACAAAAAGAAAUGCUAUUGGAAAUUUAAGGAAUACAAGAGAUCUACAGCACGAUGGCAAGCACACUACAAAUCCUGGUUUCACAACUUCUUGCCUUUCCAAUUGGCUGCCAAGUCAUUAGUUGAUUGGCUCUUAAAUGAAGCUCCGGUCUAGUAGAAUCUCCUUCCCCAUUGGCCCCGAGUUUGUCCUACUACCACUGUGCCAUCAUGUGCUCUGAUGAAACAUCCAAUCCUACAAGGCUCUUGGUCCCCUGCUAAAACCCAUAGAAAUUUUGCUUUGCAAACCCUAUUGAA
Molecule: long non-coding RNA, 562 nt
Organism: Telopea speciosissima
Lineage: Eukaryota; Viridiplantae; Streptophyta; Magnoliopsida; Proteales; Proteaceae
Exons: 2
Source: RefSeq, a predicted model, not a curated record